AUUGAACGCUGGCGGCAUGCCUUACACAUGCAAGUCGAACGGUAACGGGUCCUUCGGGAUGCCGACGAGUGGCGAACGGGUGAGUAAUAUAUCGGAACGUGCCCAGUAGUGGGGGAUAACUGCUCGAAAGAGCAGCUAAUACCGCAUACGACCUGAGGGUGAAAGGGGGGGAUCGCAAGACCUCUCGCUAUUGGAGCGGCCGAUAUCAGAUUAGCUAGUUGGUGGGGUAAAGGCCUACCAAGGCAACGAUCUGUAGUUGGUCUGAGAGGACGACCAGCCACACUGGGACUGAGACACGGCCCAGACUCCUACGGGAGGCGGCAGUGGGGAAUUUUGGACAAUGGGCGCAAGCCUGAUCCAGCAAUGCCGCGUGCAGGAAGAAGGCCUUCGGGUUGUAAACUGCUUUUGUCAGGGAAGAAAUCUUCUGGGCUAAUACCCCGGGAGGAUGACGGUACCUGAAGAAUAAGCACCGGCUAACUACGUG
Molecule: ribosomal RNA, 484 nt
Filed under: uncultured bacterium
Lineage: Bacteria
Description: partial 16S ribosomal RNA
Rfam family: Bacterial small subunit ribosomal RNA
Source: RNAcentral